This 253-nucleotide ribosomal RNA is filed under the name uncultured bacterium. RNAcentral's name for it is "partial 16S ribosomal RNA". It matches the Rfam family "Bacterial small subunit ribosomal RNA", at positions 524 to 776 of the family's 1533-position model. The record is from RNAcentral.
UACAGAGGGUGCUAGCGUUAAUCGGAAUUACUGGGCGUAAAGGGUGUGUAGGUGGUUGGAUAAGUUAGAUGUGAAAUCCCCGGGCUUAACCUGGGAACUGCGUUUAAAACUGUUCGACUAGAGUGCUGUAGAGGAUAGUGGAAUUUCCAGUGUAGCGGUGAAAUGCGUAGAUAUUGGAAGGAACACCAGUGGCGAAGGCGACUAUCUGGACAGACACUGACACUCAGACACGAAAGCGUGGGGAGCAAACAGG